RNAcentral lists this ribosomal RNA (2923 nucleotides) under Klebsiella pneumoniae. RNAcentral's name for it is "bacterial LSU rRNA". It matches the Rfam family "Bacterial large subunit ribosomal RNA". Lineage: Bacteria; Pseudomonadati; Pseudomonadota; Gammaproteobacteria; Enterobacterales; Enterobacteriaceae. The record is from RNAcentral.
GGGUUGUGAGGUUAAGCGACUAAGCGUACACGGUGGAUGCCCUGGCAGUCAGAGGCGAUGAAGGACGUGCUAAUCUGCGAAAAGCGUCGGUAAGGUGAUAUGAACCGUUAUAGCCGGCGAUGUCCGAAUGGGGAAACCCAGUGCAAUUCGUUGCACUAUCGUUAACUGAAUACAUAGGUUAACGAGGCGAACCGGGGGAACUGAAACAUCUAAGUACCCCGAGGAAAAGAAAUCAACCGAGAUUCCCCCAGUAGCGGCGAGCGAACGGGGAGCAGCCCAGAGUCUGAAUCAGCUUGUGUGUUAGUGGAACGGUCUGGAAAGUCCGACGGUACAGGGUGAUAGUCCCGUACACCAAAAUGCACAGGCUGUGAACUCGAAGAGUAGGGCGGGACACGUGGUAUCCUGUCUGAAUAUGGGGGGACCAUCCUCCAAGGCUAAAUACUCCUGACUGACCGAUAGUGAACCAGUACCGUGAGGGAAAGGCGAAAAGAACCCCGGCGAGGGGAGUGAAAAAGAACCUGAAACCGUGUACGUACAAGCAGUGGGAGCACCUUCGGGUGUGACUGCGUACCUUUUGUAUAAUGGGUCAGCGACUUAUAUUCUGUAGCAAGGUUAACCGUAUAGGGGAGCCGCAGGGAAACCGAGUCUUAACUGGGCGUUAAGUUGCAGGGUAUAGACCCGAAACCCGGUGAUCUAGCCAUGGGCAGGUUGAAGGUUGGGUAACACUAACUGGAGGACCGAACCGACUAAUGUUGAAAAAUUAGCGGAUGACUUGUGGCUGGGGGUGAAAGGCCAAUCAAACCGGGAGAUAGCUGGUUCUCCCCGAAAGCUAUUUAGGUAGCGCCUCGUGAAUUCAUCUUCGGGGGUAGAGCACUGUUUCGGCUAGGGGGUCAUCCCGACUUACCAACCCGAUGCAAACUACGAAUACCGAAGAAUGUUAUCACGGGAGACACACGGCGGGUGCUAACGUCCGUCGUGAAGAGGGAAACAACCCAGACCGCCAGCUAAGGUCCCAAAGUCAUGGUUAAGUGGGAAACGAUGUGGGAAGGCACAGACAGCCAGGAUGUUGGCUUAGAAGCAGCCAUCAUUUAAAGAAAGCGUAAUAGCUCACUGGUCGAGUCGGCCUGCGCGGAAGAUGUAACGGGGCUAAACCAUGCACCGAAGCUGCGGCAGCGACACUAUGUGUUGUUGGGUAGGGGAGCGUUCUGUAAGCCUGCGAAGGUGUGCUGUGAGGCAUGCUGGAGGUAUCAGAAGUGCGAAUGCUGACAUAAGUAACGAUAAAGCGGGUGAAAAGCCCGCUCGCCGGAAGACCAAGGGUUCCUGUCCAACGUUAAUCGGGGCAGGGUGAGUCGACCCCUAAGGCGAGGCCGAAAGGCGUAGUCGAUGGGAAACAGGUUAAUAUUCCUGUACUUGGUGUUACUGCGAAGGGGGGACGGAGAAGGCUAUGUUAGCCGGGCGACGGUUGUCCCGGUUUAAGCAUGUAGGCUGAUUAUCCAGGCAAAUCCGGAUAAUCAAGGCUGAGGUGUGAUGACGAGGCACUACGGUGCUGAAGUAACAAAUGCCCUGCUUCCAGGAAAAGCCUCUAAGCAUCAGGUAACAUCAAAUCGUACCCCAAACCGACACAGGUGGUCAGGUAGAGAAUACCAAGGCGCUUGAGAGAACUCGGGUGAAGGAACUAGGCAAAAUGGUGCCGUAACUUCGGGAGAAGGCACGCUGGUGUGUAGGUGAAGCCCCUGCGGGUGGAGCUGAGACCAGUCGAAGAUACCAGCUGGCUGCAACUGUUUAUUAAAAACACAGCACUGUGCAAACACGAAAGUGGACGUAUACGGUGUGACGCCUGCCCGGUGCCGGAAGGUUAAUUGAUGGGGUUAUCCGUAAGGAGAAGCUCUUGAUCGAAGCCCCGGUAAACGGCGGCCGUAACUAUAACGGUCCUAAGGUAGCGAAAUUCCUUGUCGGGUAAGUUCCGACCUGCACGAAUGGCGUAAUGAUGGCCAGGCUGUCUCCACCCGAGACUCAGUGAAAUUGAACUCGCUGUGAAGAUGCAGUGUACCCGCGGCAAGACGGAAAGACCCCGUGAACCUUUACUAUAGCUUGACACUGAACAUUGAGCCUUGAUGUGUAGGAUAGGUGGGAGGCUUUGAAGCGUGGACGCCAGUCUGCGUGGAGCCAACCUUGAAAUACCACCCUUUAAUGUUUGAUGUUCUAACGUUGGCCCCUGACCGGGGUUGCGGACAGUGUCUGGUGGGUAGUUUGACUGGGGCGGUCUCCUCCCAAAGCGUAACGGAGGAGCACGAAGGUUAGCUAAUCCUGGUCGGACAUCAGGAGGUUAGUGCAAUGGCAUAAGCUAGCUUGACUGCGAGCGUGACGGCGCGAGCAGGUGCGAAAGCAGGUCAUAGUGAUCCGGUGGUUCUGAAUGGAAGGGCCAUCGCUCAACGGAUAAAAGGUACUCCGGGGAUAACAGGCUGAUACCGCCCAAGAGUUCAUAUCGACGGCGGUGUUUGGCACCUCGAUGUCGGCUCAUCACAUCCUGGGGCUGAAGUAGGUCCCAAGGGUAUGGCUGUUCGCCAUUUAAAGUGGUACGCGAGCUGGGUUUAGAACGUCGUGAGACAGUUCGGUCCCUAUCUGCCGUGGGCGCUGGAGAAUUGAGGGGGGCUGCUCCUAGUACGAGAGGACCGGAGUGGACGCAUCACUGGUGUUCGGGUUGUCAUGCCAAUGGCACUGCCCGGUAGCUAAAUGCGGAAGAGAUAAGUGCUGAAAGCAUCUAAGCACGAAACUUGCCCCGAGAUGAGUUCUCCCUGAGACUUUAAGUCUCCUGAAGGAACGUUAAAGACGAUGACGUUGAUAGGCCGGGUGUGUAAGCGCAGCGAUGCGUUGAGCUAACCGGUACUAAUGAACCGUGAGGCUUAACCUUACAACGCCGAAG